GGCGACGACGGGUAGCUGGUCUGAGAGGACGAUCAGCAACACUGGAACUGAGACACGGUCCAGACACCUACGGGUGGCAGCAGUCGAGAAUCAUUCACAAUGGAGGCAACUCUGAUGGUGCAACGCCGCGUGGAGGAUGACGGUCC
RNAcentral lists this ribosomal RNA (146 nucleotides) under uncultured bacterium. RNAcentral's name for it is "partial 16S ribosomal RNA". It matches the Rfam family "Bacterial small subunit ribosomal RNA", at positions 272 to 417 of the family's 1533-position model. The record is from RNAcentral.